RNAcentral lists this ribosomal RNA (449 nucleotides) under uncultured bacterium. Its description in RNAcentral is "partial 16S ribosomal RNA". It matches the Rfam family "Bacterial small subunit ribosomal RNA", at positions 30 to 523 of the family's 1533-position model. The record is from RNAcentral.
AUUGAACGCUGGCGGCAGGCUUAACACAUGCAAGUCGAACGCAUCCUUCGGGGUGAGUGGCAGACGGGUGAGUAACGCGUGGGAACGUGCCCUUCAGUUCGGAAUAACCCAGGGAAACUUGGGCUAAUACCGGAUACGUGCGAGAGCAGAAAGAUUUAUCGCUGAAGGAUCGGCCCGCGUCUGAUUAGCUAGUUGGUGAGGUAAUGGCUCACCAAGGCGACGAUCAGUAGCUGGUCUGAGAGGAUGAUCAGCCACAUUGGGACUGAGACACGGCCCAAACUCCUACGGGAGGCAGCAGUGGGGAAUAUUGGACAAUGGGCGCAAGCCUGAUCCAGCCAUGCCGCGUGAGUGAUGAAGGCCUUAGGGUUGUAAAGCUCUUUCAGUGGGGACGAUAAUGACGGUACCCGCAGAAGAAGCCCCGGCUAACUUCGUGCCAGCCGCCGCAGUAA